RNAcentral lists this ribosomal RNA (444 nucleotides) under uncultured Fusibacter sp. RNAcentral describes it as "bacterial SSU rRNA". It matches the Rfam family "Bacterial small subunit ribosomal RNA", at positions 338 to 797 of the family's 1533-position model. Lineage: Bacteria; Bacillati; Bacillota; Clostridia; Eubacteriales; Fusibacteraceae. The record is from RNAcentral.
CCUACGGGCGGCUGCAGUGGGGAAUAUUGCACAAUGGGCGCAAGCCUGAUGCAGCAACGCCGCGUGAGUGAUGAAGGCCUUCGGGUUGUAAAACUCUGUCCUAUGGGAAGAAACAAAUGACGGUACCAUGGGAGGAAGCCCCGGCUAACUACGUGCCAGCAGCCGCGGUAAUACGUAGGGGGCAAGCGUUAUCCGGAAUCACUGGGCGUAAAGGGUGCGUAGGUGGCUUAUCAAGCCAGAGGUGAAAGGCAGUGGCUCAACCAUUGUAAGCCUUUGGAACUGAUUAGCUUGAGUGCAGGAGAGGUAAGUGGAAUUCCUAGUGUAGAGGUGAAAUUCGUAGAUAUUAGGAGGAACACCAGUGGCGAAGGCGACUUACUGGACUGUAACUGACACUGAGGCACGAAAGCGUGGGUAGCGAACAGGAUUAGAUACCCCAGUAGUCGC